UGGUAAACCUGUCGAAAGGCAGGGACACAAAGCCAUAGGGUCUAAGAUCGAAAGAUUAUGACAGCCGGUUGCCG
This 74-nucleotide non-coding RNA is filed under the name human gut metagenome. RNAcentral's name for it is "Cyclic di-GMP-I riboswitch". It matches the Rfam family "c-di-GMP-I riboswitch aptamer", at positions 11 to 85 of the family's 87-position model. From Rfam's summary of the family: GEMM was predicted in a large-scale screen for bacterial structured RNA regulatory elements. Genes associated with GEMM are involved in a diverse array of functions, including chemotaxis regulation, signal transduction, secretion and chitin. The record is from RNAcentral.